RNAcentral lists this long non-coding RNA (1714 nucleotides) under Setaria italica (foxtail millet). Its description in RNAcentral is "long non-coding RNA (SITA_LNC002762)". The record is from RNAcentral. Lineage: Eukaryota; Viridiplantae; Streptophyta; Magnoliopsida; Poales; Poaceae.
UUGAAGCAGCCCCCGGACACACCGCGGAGGAGCUGGAGGAGCAGUUGUCUGAUUUGUUUGAAGGUUAGAAGACAAUGGUAGGAGCUGAAAUCGUCUGGACAAAGGAAAGGAGUACAGUACAGCGAAACAGAGUGACCACCCUGUUUUUCAGAAAAAGAGACUGCCUUCAGUUUCUUUGGUCUGCCGAGAAAAGGCAGCAUUUCGACCGGCAAGGCGGCAGCCAACAAAAGCGGGAAUACUAUACAUCGCUCGGACGGCGUCAGCUCGUCCUCUCAUUCAUUUUGAAAUACUAAAUUUAUUUUUCUCAUAAGAUUUACAUCUGAUUUUUUUAUCCAUUUGAACCUUUUAUGUUGCCUAAAAUUAAGGCAACAAAAUAAUUUCAAACAUGAAUACAUUUAUUUUUUUUAAAUAUUCGAUAUUUUUUGUCAUGAAGUUUAAAAAUUUAUUCUCAUGAAGCUAGAUAUUUUUUCUAAUAUGGAACAAUUAUCUUGCAAAGUUAGAACAAUAUUUUCUUUUGCUAAACUUGGAAUAAUUUUCUCGUAAGACUAGAACAUUGUCCCACUCAUUAAAAAUUCCAGCUUUAUAAAACAAUGCUCUUCCAAAAAAAUGGUAUUCAACAUAUUUAAGUGUGUCCUUAUUUUAAAGAUCUUAUGGUAAGAAACAUAAUGAUGAAAUUGGAUUUAAUAUUUUAAUUAUUUUUAAACGGACGAUAUUAAUUCAAAUUAUGUUGGUUCCUCAGUUUGAAAUUAUGUUGCAUGCGUGAAUCUAGCUAGGUGGGUUACUUUUUCGUUCCGUGGAUCAUACUAGAUACCAUGAGAAGGUGAAUGAUGAACUAAUUAGCCAUGUCAUCGUACAAUGAAAAGAAAACGACUCGGACGCGGAUCAGUAGUAUCCACACGACAGAUAAUGACGAAUCAAGGAGGGGAAGAAGGAGGAGGAGGAGAAGAAGGUUUCAGCUCCUUAGCUCUUGGUUGGAUCCGCCCGUAAGCAGCCACUUAUUCAUCAUAUGCAGUACGUAUAAUAUUGAGCUGGGCUAAACAGUCGGUCCAUACGAUGUAUAUAUCAAAAUUUAUGAACAUAGAAAAGCUAAAACCACUAAUAAUUUAGGGUGGAUGGAGCUAGUGAUUUUUUAUUUAAGCCGAGGUUAUGUUGUGUGUGCAUGCAUCUGCACCACCAGCAAUAUUUGCGUAUACAAUAACACGUUUACCGGGUCGCAAACGAAGCCUUUGGGAACGGCCAGGUUGAACGUUCUGACGAACGCCUCGAACACCACCGCAACGCCCUCGGGGGUGUCGUCUACGAUACCGAUGGAGCCUGCGACGACAAGGCAGACGCACUGGGCGACCUCUACCGGCUUCAGUCCACGGACUGCGGCCUGUAUGGUCCCAGGGGCCAGCGGGAUACCUGAGAGGAAAUCGGAUGCUGCACUAAUGCACCUCUUGAUGUCUGGAUUAUUCUCCGUCGUCGUCUCCGUCUCCGGCGGCGUCUGGGCCAGGGCGCAAACCGUCGCGGCCAGGAGAGCCGUGCCGAGGAGGAGCAGGGAAGUAGCGGAUGGCUUCGAGGCCAUUUCGGUAGCUCUGCUGGACUGCUGGUGUAGGGGCUGUACGCUCAAUUACUCGGCCCUUCUGUCAAGUGUCAACCAUCCAUGCGUGCUACUUAUAUAUAGGCGCGCGCUCGAUAAUGGUCAUCUGCUGGCGAACCUAGAGCAUAUGCA